This 386-nucleotide ribosomal RNA is filed under the name uncultured bacterium. RNAcentral's name for it is "bacterial SSU rRNA". It matches the Rfam family "Bacterial small subunit ribosomal RNA", at positions 375 to 754 of the family's 1533-position model. The record is from RNAcentral.
GCGAAAGCCUGAUCCAGCAAUACCGCGUGUGUGAAGAAGGCCUUAGGGUUGUAAAGCACUUUCAAUUGGGAGGAAAACCUGCCGGUCAAUACCCGGUAGCUUGACAUUACCUUUAGAAGAAGCACCGGCUAACUCCGUGCCAGCAGCCGCGGUAAUACGGAGGGUGCGAGCGUUAAUCGGAAUUACUGGGCGUAAAGCGUGCGUAGGUGGUUCGUUAAGUCAGAUGUGAAAGCCCUGGGCUCAACCUGGGAACUGCAUUUGAAACUGGCGGACUAGAGUUUAGUAGAGGGGAGUGGAAUUUCAGGUGUAGCGGUGAAAUGCGUAGAUAUCUGAAGGAACACCAGUGGCGAAGGCGACUCCCUGGACUAAAACUGACGCUGAGGUAC